Molecule: ribosomal RNA, 610 nt
Filed under: uncultured bacterium
Lineage: Bacteria
Description: bacterial SSU rRNA
Rfam family: Bacterial small subunit ribosomal RNA (bases 1-520)
Source: RNAcentral
CCUACGGGAGGCAGCAGUGGGGAAUAUUGGGCAAUGGAGGAAACUCUGACCCAGCGACGCCGCGUGCGGGAUGAAGGCCUUCGGGUUGUAAACCGCUUUCAGCAGGGAAUAAGCGCAAGUGAAGGUACCUGCAGAAGAAGCACCGGCUAACUAUGUGCCAGCAGCCGCGGUAAUACAUAGGGUGCAAGCGUUGUCCGGAAUUAUUGGGCGUAAAGAGCUCGUAGGUGGUUUGUUACGUCGGAUGUGAAAAUCAGGGGCUCAACCCCUGACCUGCAUUCGAUACGGGCAAGCUGGAGUUUGGUAGGGGAGACUGGAAUUCCUGGUGUAGCGGUGGAAUGCGCAGAUAUCAGGAGGAACACCGAUGGCGAAGGCAGGUCUCUGGGCCAAUACUGACACUGAGGAGCGAAAGCGUGGGGAGCGAACAGGAUUAGAUACCCUGGUAGUCCACGCCGUAAACGGUGGGCACUAGUUGUGCGAACCUUCCACGGUUUGUGCGACGCAGCUACGCAUAGUGCCCGCCGUCGGGAGGUACGAGUCGCGAAGAAUUAAACUAACAAAGGAAGUUAGACGGCGUGAGACGUGCCGAACGGACGACGACGAGGGAGGUAGG